Non-coding RNA from Rattus norvegicus (Norway rat), 777 nucleotides. NCBI's taxonomy places the organism in Eukaryota, Metazoa, Chordata, Mammalia, Rodentia, Muridae. The record is from RefSeq and is a predicted model, not a curated record.
GUCACUAGUGUCAUGGUGACAGCAACUCCCUCUCAGAUAUUCCUUCAGUACCUCUAGAGUUUACUAAUUGGCUCUAAAUCAAAGUAAACAGCCAUUUGGGAGUGAGAAGAAAGAGAGUAAAGAGAACAGUGAUGGUGAGAAGGAAGCUGGCCUUCUGUAUUUGUAUAAAAAAGGAAGAAAUACUUGGUCCAUUGGAAAGCUUGAAAAUUUUCAUCAAAUGAGCCAGAAAUUCUUCCUGACUUCAACACAACAUGGCCAUUGGGAACAGAAUAAACCACAAAUAAGAAAAUGGAGAAAGUGGUUGACACACGCAAAAUUCUUGGUUUUAAAAUUAAUAAUCAUGCUAGUUAUGGGAUGGAGCUUUGAAAAUAGAGCCAAUGACAGGAUGAAAAACACUGACGAAGAGUAUUUAAAUUAAAUUUUUACUAAAUAAAAGAAAACAGUGGAUCUGAAGACAAGAUCUAGUGGAAUUGCUAACCAUCUGGACUAAUUGAAGAAAUCUUAAAAGGGUGCCACAGAGACGACAUAGUAAUUAAGAAUGCAAACUGCUUUUACAGAAGAUCUGAGUUUGGAUUCAGGCUCCCGUGUCCUGUGACCCACAACCACUUGUUAUUUCAGCUCCUGGGGAUAUACCGCCUCUACUGGCUUUCUUGGACAUAGUGCUUAUAUGUGUAUACACAAACACACACACACACACACACACAAACACACACACACACACACACACGUUCACUCACAGAGAUAAUUAAAAAUUAAAAAGUAGACUUUGAAAAAGAA